AGAAGUAUUUACAAAACAUUCCAAAAGCAACAGGUUGGGAGUAUUAUUUAUUCAAAUAAACAAAAAUGUUUUAUUUCCCUUUCAAUGGUAUAUAUCUUAAAUUGCUGGAACAUACAAGUAUAAAAAUAAGAUUAUUUUAGAAAACUCCAGUUUUGAAGGGCACGACAAUAGUUCAGACAUUUGUCAGUAGCUAUGAAGCCACUUUUAACAUGGAAUGAAUAUCCCUUUACUCCAACUCUUGGUCUUAUUACAUUUUUAAAUCAAAUCAGCGUGCUGGAAAUAGAGAAAAAUUCCCAAAGGGAAAUAUAAAAUAAUUUUAAGCAUUUUCAGAAAUACAAGUUACACUUAAGAAACUUGUAUUAAAGGAUGUUAAUCUGAGAUAAACAGAAAACAAACGUUUUGCAAAGCACUACUUUUUGCAUCUGUUUGAGGAUACACAGUUUGCAGCUCUCCUGCCAGAAGCAAAAUACUGACUCUAGCACAGCAGAAAAGGCAUCAACUUUAAGAAAAAAAUGAGUGGUCGCUUUCAAUGACUGAACAUAACAUAUUAAACUUUAAGAAUUUUUAACAAUGCAAAUUAACAGCAAUAGUAGAAAAUACAUCAUUUUAGAUUACAAAAAUUCAGCUUUUAUUAGCACAUGACAAAUCUCAUUCAUUCGCUGCCCUCUCAUAUGUGCUGAGUAACUGCUACACAGAAUUUCAAACCUCACUGAUAUAAAUGUGAGAGAUGACAUCUACAAUGAGAAAAAUGAGGGAAAAAAAUCUCGUUUUAUACCACUAGCAACAAAGAACACAAAAUUGUAUUAAAUUUGUUAAGAAAUGUUAUUUUGUGCAAUUUUCAUGAUAGAUUAAUUAGCUUUGUUCACUUUUUUUCCUCCAUCUUAAAAAGAGAUAAUCUUUUAAUGUUUUCUUAACAUUUCAUUCAGGAACACUAAUCUUAGAAAUGCGAGGCUUGUGUAAAAUUUUACUUUAAUAGGCACAAUGUAGCAAGCGAAACCAUACUCAUAUCAGGGAACUUGCAAUGACCUCCACAUAUAGCACUCAACAGAAAAACAUAUGUCCUGACCUUUGGAGACACUUCCCUGCUUAUGAUAUUCUUAUCUGUCUGUGCCUUGUGAAUAAAAAUGCAUUUUUAUUCCAACCCAAAUGAAGAAAAUCCUAUGGAAAAACAUCAAUGUCAAAGGCUAGGUUGCCAAGGACACCCAAGGUUUCUAGCCUUUUAUUGAUACCACGAAAGUGACAGCUGUGCCCAACUUACUGAAGUCUAUAUUAUAAAUCUGUCAUUUCUAAUUAUAAAUCUACAUUGGAAAAAAUAUUUUACUCAGAUGGCUAUGUGUGAGGCACACGUGUGUUCUACACAGUUUGGACUUUAUCUGGUUGGUCUUACACAAACAAUUAUCCAUCUGUAAAGGGAACUGCUCACUUCUCAGGGCUGCCCUGAUUCCCAGAGGAGAGACAGAUAUUUUACCAUCACAGCGUUCCCCAAGAUGCUGGCAGAGACACCAGGAUGGCUGCUCUCACAAUAGUGUCCAAGAAGUACCCGAGGCUCAACGGGGCACCCAAGCAUCAGGGACCAGGACAAGAUGGACCUUCCGGGGACGUGGAGCCUGGGGAGCAGGGCUCCCACGCUGACAGCAGUGAGACAGGAGGGAGCUCCUUUCCUGGAAGUCUCUGACAGAAGACAUUCUGGAGAAAGAAGCUGUCGGAUGUUCGGAAUGCAUGGGCUGGGCUGGCUCAGCAGAGCUGGCGGAAACGGUGAGGGCCCAGCUGCCGUGCCCCUCAACGACACUGUCAGGUAACUGCUGCCAGGAGCCUUCCAGAUGCUCAGACCCCAGAAGCCACUUUACCGGCCCCCUUUGGCCUCAGUUGCUUGACCCUCCCCUACAAAUUUCCAGGUGCAUGACCUUGAACCUGCCUGUGUCCUGCGUGGGCCUUGAGGCAUCUCUAGUUUGAUUAGGACAGACGUGUUUUACACAUGGCUGUCAAGCAAGUUUCUCUUGGCCUAAUUGUUCCUCUGGCAAAUAAUCAAUCCUGAGAAGUUCCUUUACAAAAUACCUAAAAAGUAGACUGUGCCAAAAACGUGGGGUGAAAUGAGGUGCCCACGGCAUCCUGGGGACGUUCUUGGCUGAUGCGGACCUCCGUGCCCCACUGCCAACUGAGGGGUGGGACCUCUCUUCUGGCUCCUUCUUGCCCUGCCCUCUUUUCAGAUUCUGGAACUUCCCAGGUCCCAGCCAUCCUGUACUCUCCAUCCGUUGAAUGAACCAAUCCUUGCUCCGCGUGGGCAACACCCGGGGAGCAGAGCAGAUGGCUGAAACAUCCACACGUAGCCUACUGUGAAUACAAACGAUACUUCUGCAGGAGGGGACACUUAGCACUUUUGGUGGAAUUCUGUAAUAUAGCCAACCCACCCCAAAAAAAUGCAAAGGGAACACUGAACUUGGCACACAAGCAGGAGAGAGGGGAUACUGUCUUUUAACUCUUCUCCUAAUGACAUCAGGUCAUAUAAGGCUAUGUCAAGGAAACGGCUUCCACUUUUCUUUGGCAAAGGCCUCGAUAAGUGACAGAAAGUAGGGACUGCCCCCCGAAAUAAGGCUACCACUGCACAACUGUUACCAAAGAUUAAACACCCCCAAAGGAAGAAGCACAGAGGUCAACUGCUGAACAAUUUAAGCUGAUUGGAUGGGUAUGCUUGAGGCUAACCAGUUCUGCAAAGGGAAACACACGGUUUCGAAGCACGGGGAUAAGUAGACGUUACCUUGUGUCUUCUGCACAUCUUGCAUCUUCCUUCCCUGACAGCUGGUCAGAAAUAGGGGCAUCAGGCCAUUUCCCUGUUUCCCAACAGGGUAAUAGCCAACCUACUUCCAGAGAAGAUUUGGAAAAAGAGACAACUAAGCUAGUGAAAUAGAAUAGUUUUUUCUCAUCAAAACAUGAUUUAUUAAUUUUAAGCAAGAGUAAGCAUAUGUGAUAGUGGCCAGCUUGGGGAUAGAACUCU
RNAcentral lists this long non-coding RNA (2992 nucleotides) under Homo sapiens (human). RNAcentral's name for it is "HSALNT0273854". The record is from RNAcentral. Lineage: Eukaryota; Metazoa; Chordata; Mammalia; Primates; Hominidae.